UGGGGCUGUAAAAGUUGGAUGUGGGUCGCUAUGGGUUGUUAGGGGUCACUAUGGGUCUCUGUGGGUCUCUAUGGGUCCAAUAUGGGUCUCUACGGGUACUUAUGGGUGGGAUGUGGGUCGCUAUGGGUCUCUAUGGGUUGUUAUGGGUCACUAUGGGUCUCUAUGGGUGGGAUGUGGGUCGCUAUGGGUCGCUGUGGGGCAGGGAGCCGUGGCUGUGGGUCCUUAUGGGUGGGAUGCGGGUCGCUAUGGGUCUCUAUGGGUUGCUAUGGCUCACUAUGGGUCUCUAUGGGGCUAGAUGGGUUGGAUGUGGGUCGCUAUGGGUUGCUAUGGGUCUCUGUGGGUCUCUAUGGGUCCACUGUGGGUCUCUAUGGGUCUCUAUGGGUGGGAUGUGGGUUGCUAUGGGUCUCUGUGGGUCUCUAUGGGUCCAAUGUGGGGUCACUAUGCGUCUCUAUGGGUGGGAUGUGGGUCGCCAUGGGUCGCCGUGGGGCAGGGAGCCGUGGCUGUGGGUCCUUAUGGGUCGGUAUGGGUCUCCGUGGGUCUCUAUGGGGCUAGAUGGAUUGGAUUUGGGUCUCUAUGGGUUGUUAUGGCUCACUAUGGGUCUCUGUGGGUCUCUAUGGGGCUGUAAAGGUUGGAUGUGGGUCGCUAUGGGUCUCUGUGGGUCUCUAUGGGUCCCUAUGGGUGGGAUGUGGGUCGCUAUGGGUCUCUAUGGGUUGUUAUGGGUCACUAUGGGUCUCUAUGGGUCCCUACGGGUGGGCUGUGGGUCGCUAUGGGUCGCCGUGGGGCAGGGAGCCGUGGUUCGAGGAGAACCGUGGGGCAGCCCUGGGCGGUGUGGGGCUGGCCGCCAGCUCGGGGCCCGGCGCCAUGAUGCAGCUGAAGGUGACGGCGCUGAUGAAGGCUGAGCUCUGCGUGAGUGGGGGGAAAGGGGGGAAAAAUGGGGAG
Molecule: long non-coding RNA, 939 nt
Filed under: Numida meleagris (helmeted guineafowl)
Lineage: Eukaryota; Metazoa; Chordata; Aves; Galliformes; Numididae
Description: lncRNA (ENSNMEG00000003014.1)
Source: RNAcentral